Molecule: ribosomal RNA, 521 nt
Filed under: Dolerus sp. Sus5
Lineage: Eukaryota; Metazoa; Arthropoda; Insecta; Hymenoptera; Tenthredinidae
Description: eukaryotic LSU rRNA
Rfam family: Eukaryotic large subunit ribosomal RNA
Source: RNAcentral
CCAAGGAGUCUAACAUGUGCGCGAGUCAUUGGGACACGCAAACCUAAAGGCGAAAUGAAAGUAAAGGUCAGCCUUGCGCUGACCGAGGGAGGAUGGGCCGCGUCACGAUGCGGCCCCGCACUCCCGGGGCGUCUCGUUCUCAUUGCGAGAAGAGGCGCACCCAGAGCGUACACGUUGGGACCCGAAAGAUGGUGAACUAUGCCUGGUCAGGACGAAGUCAGGGGAAACCCUGAUGGAGGUCCGUAGCGAUUCUGACGUGCAAAUCGAUCGUCGGAACUGGGUAUAGGGGCGAAAGACUAAUCGAACCAUCUAGUAGCUGGUUCCCUCCGAAGUUUCCCUCAGGAUAGCUGGCACUCGCGUACAAAACGUACACGAGUCUCAUCCGGUAAAGCGAAUGAUUAGAGGCCUUGGGGCCGAAACGACCUCAACCUAUUCUCAAACUUUAAAUGGGUGAGAUCUCUGGCUUGCUUGAACUAUGAAGCCACGAGAUUUCGGAUCAGAGUGCCAAGUGGGCCACUUUU